AUAAUUUAAAAUAAAAUUAAUAUGACUAAGUGAUAGAGACUGGAAAAUAGAGAUUGUAUCCAAAUAAUAAUGCUGCACAAUCAUGCCACAGAUUAACAAGUAAAAAUUUACUUGCUAAUUCUGUAUUUGUUGAAACAAGAACUUCAGUAAUCUAUACUAUAGACUUUUGGUGAAUAUACUCAGGCAAUAUACCAGGAAUGGUUGUGAUUGAUAAUUUACACAUAGUUUUGUCACAUUUAAAUAAGUAGUUUUAAGGAGGUUGUUAAAUUUAUACAGCCUGUCUUUGCUUAAGUUGUGGACUUAAGUCACUGCUUGCCAGUUACCUGGUAAGUGUGACUUGACUUUGAAGAUAGCUACUUCCAAAUGCUUUAAAGAGUUCCUGAUUUAUGAGAUAUUGAACCUGCUAAGCUGAUGAACUCACUAGGUAAUUUUGAGUGUGAUAAUGAACAAAUGGGCCUUUGAGCUAUAGCCUGAAUUAAAAUCAGAAAGGAAGUGUGUCAGUAGCUAGUGUACUGAAGUUGUCUAACCUGAAUUCCUGUUGCUGGUUUUAAAUGAACCGAGUGGUCUUGUCAACACCAAUGUGACAACAACUUUCCAGACCAGAGCUAAGAAAUGGUAUGUACACUAUUAUAGGCAUGCGUAUACUACAAAUUCAAAGUUUUAGUCAUUUUGUUUAUGAAUUCAUUAAUAAAUAGGAGAGGAUGUAAUCUGAAAAAUGAUGAGACUCCAUAAUCUUCCAGGAUAGCAAGUUAGCAAUUAGGGCUUGCUUUGUCAUUGAAUCCCAUACCUAGCUGUGGUAAGCAAAAUCACCACGCUCCAGCGUAAAGCUCCUGUUCUCUUCCUUUCCACUACUACUGAAAAGCAUUUCCACGAAUGACAAUUACAACCACUAAUAGCCUCUUGUGUUAGUUGGCUAAGAUGAAAAAGCUGCUAAAUUAGUCAUCACCUUUCCCCACAAUGUCCUGAAUAAGGUUGUUCCAGUGCUGUUAAUACAUCUUUUGCUCUUGCUGCAGUGGAGGUGGUGGAGCCUCAUGUCUCGUGCAGUUUGCACUGGUAUGCUGGUAUUGGCUGAGGUAGAGUUAAUUUUUCUUUACAGUAGCUGGUAUGGGGCUAGUUUUUGGAUUUGUGCUGAAAACAAUGUUGAUAACACAGGUAUCUUACUGAGUCAAGGUCUUUUCCGCUUCUCACCCCACCCCAACAGCAAGUAGGCGGGGGGUGCACAAGAGGUUGGGAGGGAACACAGCUGGGACAGCUGACCCCAACUGACCCAAGGGGUAUCUCAUACUAUCAUGCUCAGCAAUAAAGAAGGAAGGUUGGCAGGGGGAGGCUGCUGCUGGCUAAGUGGCUGGGCUUCAGUCGUUUGGUGGUGAGCAAUUUUCAUUUGCAUCACUUGUCUUUCUUUUUAUUUAUCUCUCUUUGUUAUUUCCCUUUUCAUUACAAUAUAUUAUUAUUGCUAUUAUCAUUAUUUUAUUUCAAUUAUUAAACUCUUCUUCUCUCAACCCACGAGUUUUCUCACUUUUACCCUUCCAAUUCUCUCCCCCAUCCUGCUGGCAGAGAAGGGGGAGUGAAUGAUGUGUGGUGGUGCUUAGUUGCCAUCUGGGGUUAAACCAUGAGAAGGGGUAAAACCAUCUUGUUGCUCAGCCAUCCUGUGCCUUUCUCACCAUCUAGCACCGGUGAAGGCUAAGCUGCUUUAAACACCCAGUCUGUGAACCUAAAAGUUGUGCUGUGUCCUGUUUCUCUUGCUUCAAGUCUAAAGAUCAUCUAUUUCUUUUAAGUUAUUUGAGUAUAUGCAUCACUAGCAGACUGUUUGGGCACAAUGUGAGGUUAUUUACCCAAUUUUUUAAGAGUUUGAGAAUUCUGGUCUCCUCUGAAGCCAUUUUUUUGCCCAGAAUGGAUUAUUCAUCAGACUGCUGAGCUGAUGACCCACUAUUUGCAUGGCUUCCAAACCAUAAUGACAUUUAUCAGCAAUAUGGGAUUCGACUUUAAUCAGAUUUCCUGAAGACCAAUAUGAAUAAACUGCACAUGUGUACAGCUUGUCAUCCUGUAACUGCCUGGUGAGGGAACAUUCCUGUGUGCAUGUGCCUGUUAUCCUAGUAGAGCAGGAAACAAGGAAAUGGUGAAACUGAUUGUGUAGAUGUAGUGCAAUACAGAUAGGACUCUUUUAAGUGUAGUUUCAUCAGAAACAGGAGAGGAACUAAUAGUUUCUGUCAAUCACCUAUGCUAAAAAACUCCUUUGACCUGAGUAUUUUCCAAGUCAGCUUAUGCAAAAUAUUUCUGGUGCCUGAAGUAUGGAUGCUGAAGGCAACUACAGCUUUCUUAACAGUACCUCACACACCCAGCAUGUGGUAUCUUGUCAUUCCACAAGUUUUCUGCAACUAUUUAUUUGAAGAAGUACUUCUACAGAUAACAUUCAUAUGUUAUCUCAACCAAAACAAGCAGUAAAAAUAAGUGCAGAACACAGAAAUGUGGUCCUUUGCUCGCACUGGAGAAACUUUAGAAUUGGCUCACCUAGCCAGGUGUGGCAGGUUUAGUUCUCUCAAAUCCCAUCUACAUCUGUUUCAAGAUCACUUCAGCUAAGCCAGCUUUAAACUGUUCAAGAACUGCUACUUAGGCCAUUACUGCAAUGUAACUCAAAGUGAGGUAAGGAACAUUGGGGAAAAGAAGCACAGAGCAGUUAAAAAGAAACACAUUCUCUAAGGGAGAAGCAUAGGAGUCUGUCUUAUACUAUUUUUAAUUACUAGAGCAUAAAAAUGUCAAAGCAACAAGCUUUUGCCCUUUGUUUUUUUGGUUUUUUUGGUUUUUGGGGUUUUUUUUGUUUCUGUAUUCCUCUGAAUAAAAAAAAUGAAGUUUUGGUUAAAACCAAUCUUAACAUGAGGCCUUAAGACCUUAUAUAUUCUAACUUUAGCAUGGAGAGUCUAUUUUUACAACUACAUUAGAAAUUCUGUGUGUAGGUCUGACUGACCUUGUACAUGUAGUGGUGCGAGCAGCUAAUCAUGCGAUGUCGUAAGGCUCUGUAGAACAGCAGAUGCUGAUUGCUUUUGAUUAUCGGUACAAGGACUCCUGCUCACUGCCUGUGUAGAGAUUCCAUGUAUUUUAUGCUUGGAAAUACAGUCCAGAACAUACGCAAACUGUGAAUAUAUAACCUGAUUUUUCUUUCCUUAAGGAUAAAUAUAUAUAUGAAAAUAGGUAGUGUUUUAUAUAGAAUACAGUACAUAUUUUUAUUGUUGCAUAAAUGCAGAAUAUUUUUUUCAGAGUAGCAAAGCAUUACAGAAUUUUUAAUCUGCUGGAGAAAACACUGUAUGAGCAGUUCUUUCAGCAAAGCUUUCAGGGCAGUAUAUACCCAUUGCCUCUGCCAGCUUCAUUUUGUGCUGAUGUUUAACUUGGGCAUUGCUGUAAAAAGAAAAGAAAAAGCUAUUUUUUCACUCGUACUAGCCCUGAUUGAUUGGUAAAACGCUGAGAGAGGUGAUGAGAAUCUUGUUUCACCACUGGGGCUGGCUCGUAUUGGCAAAAACAACCAACCUACAUCAUAUUGUUGUCUUUGCUCGUUAAAAAUCCUUAAAAAAUCAUACCUGAUACAGUAGAAACAUAAGAUUUUGACAAAUACCAAAAUGAAGCAUUGCAAUUUACAACUUUCUAGCUUUGAGUGUGAUAUUUUUGACAUAAAACAUGACAGGCAUUGGGCUGUUGAAGUGAAUGAAUCUGGCUUUCAUGUAGCUAACCAAAAAUGUCGCUUUUUAUAAAAUCAAAUCAUUGUAAUUUGGGGUUCUAAAUUCCUGGUCACUUUUAAUAACAAGCAUCACGGUAUCCACUUCCAUGAGAGUAUUUAAUACAAAUGCCUGUGGUUUUCAAUGUUACUGACAUACUGUAACAUCAGUAAAGUGACUUUCAAUGACAAAGAAA
Strigops habroptila (Kakapo) is the source of this 3900-nucleotide long non-coding RNA. Lineage: Eukaryota; Metazoa; Chordata; Aves; Psittaciformes; Psittacidae. The record is from Ensembl.